AUAAAAAUCAGAGACGAAGUCUGGGUCGAAAUCAAAGGAAAAAAUGCGCGCGUGGCGCGAUGCCGGCGUUCACGAUAGGGGCGACUAUAGCGAGCCGAAUUCAUUCACAUCACACACAGGGGUCGACGAACCUUCAGCGAACUGAAUUUCGGUUAAUUGAACAGUCACUCGUGCGGCGGGAUUGACCUAGAAAUUAUCGUAUCGUGUCGUAUUGCAUAGUAUGUCUUCUCUUUCGACGAGCGAACGCGCGUACCAGCCAACCGACUUUAUCAAAUCCAACUUCUCACACGACGCCGCCGCCGCCGCCACUGCUGACGGUCCACGAUUUCCAUCGAUCGGACAACGUUCCGGCGGCGUCAAACCGUGUUUUUAUUAUUAAAUACCAACUCGUUGCUCAAUCGUUGCGUCUGCCGUAAUACGAUACGUUCGGUCGAAAUUUUUACGCAACAAAUAAUGAAAUGAUAAAAGUAAUGUCCACGCGCUGUGUUAUGCGUAUACGUGUUUGACGCAUGAAAUGAACUUGAGAAAAUGCCGUGUCACCCCGAUGUCGGCAGACGAUAAUCGUUUGAUAAGCGCGACGCGGGUUCUGGUCGGAUAGAGGCGGGAUACAAAUCGUCUGCUAGAGAUGAAAGAGGCAGUUUGGGUGGUCCUCAAUUGGACGGGUCCGUUUGCAUGUUAGCAAGCAGCCGACUUAAGCCCGUUGUCUGUUAAUUUGUCGUUGAAUUGAGUCAAUCGUUUAAUACGCCACCGUUUACCGUUCGACCGUCGCGUUAUUGUUCGUUGAAAAAAUAAUCGCGACGCGCCAUGUGUGUAUAAAGUUUGCUUGGCGAAAAUCACUGAUCCACCGGCGAUCUGUCAGCGAAUCGCGCGAUAAAUAGUAUUUUAUGUUCAACUGCCGACGUAACUUAUUCCGAUCGUCGAGAAGAGACGUGGCUGCGAAUUUUAUGCGCUUACGAAAGAACUGAAUACGCAGAAAUAAUAAACGUUGCACAUAACGUUUGAAGCUGUUGGAAAUAUCAGAAGCUGCUGAACAUCCGCAGCCUCAUUCAUCAAUUUCACACGGUAUGCCAGGUCCUCGUCUGUAAUGUGUAUAAGAAUUCGAAUUCCGAGGAGCGUCAAAGCACACGUAUACAGGGGACAAGAACGGUUUGGCAUUUGGUGAAGAAACGAGCGAGCGGCCGUCUAACAAGAUAAUUAAGAGUAGACCGUAGGAGUGGCCGGGCUCGGUUUUUUGUUGGUCGCGUGCUGGUGUCAACUCGUGUCGACCAAGAUCUCCCCUUUUCUUCGCGCGACUAGUUGAUACAGUCUGUCGGAACGCGAUAGAAAAACGUCUAGGUUGUAGCGAGAAUGUGAGAAAACGAGCGCGAACACGCGCUGCAAAUAUCAGCCGAUUCGAGCCGGUUAGUUAUUGUUUCCUCGCAGUCCGCGGGUCGAGUCAAGCAGGUCAUCGAUCUCGUUUCGUUUCCUUUUCUUUUUUGUUCCCACGAAACAAAAGACAAAAAGAAGACGAGACGAAAAUUUGAAAACGAUAGGCGAAGAUAUCGCGGAGUUGUCCUUGGGGAUUUUGGCGAACGCAUCGAACGGACAAAAGGAUCGGAUAUAGAGUCGAGUGUCAGAGGUGGGAAGGGGGCUCGCGUGUGCGGCACAGGAAAUGUCAAGAUCACGGCGGCAAUAUCGCAUCUGUCCGAUCGCAUCUAGCCAACGUGCGCAUUCAAGCGACCCCGUCUACGUACCGCCGGCGUAUACUUUUACCCACCUAUCAUCUAUAUCUCCGCGUAAAUUACUCUCUCUGGCUCACGCGCUCACACUCUUAUUCUCACCGCGACCGACCGACCGAUCUUUCUUUUUCUCGCUUAACUCUCGUCGAACACGCGUUUUCGACAUUCGUUUUAAUCGAGGUCACAUCCUUCGAUACGUUGUCGUACUUGCCGAUCAUUACAAUACCCACGAAGAAUUUGAAUCGUCUUCGGGCUGGAAUUUUUAAAGAAUAAAUGUAUCGAGUGAUUAUAGGUGCUCGUACGAUUCCUUGAAA
Ceratina calcarata is the source of this 2032-nucleotide long non-coding RNA. RefSeq lists it as uncharacterized. The transcript has 2 exons. The record is from RefSeq and is a predicted model, not a curated record. NCBI's taxonomy places the organism in Eukaryota, Metazoa, Arthropoda, Insecta, Hymenoptera, Apidae.